CCACCUUUCCUGGAAAUAAACAAGAUUCGUGUGUUCGUAUUUAUGCUUCGUGAGAGGUCACUUGAAGUGUAAAUGGCCACGAAUAACCUUUUUUACGUUGUUGUUUACACACAUGUCGAACAAAAUACACACAUGUCGAACAAAAUAAGUGUGGUACUGUCUGUACACUAGGACCAAGAACCUAUUGACCACCCUGGCUGUUGUCAUAAAUUAUAUAGCUUACAUCUGAAUUCAGAAAGGUCUCAGAAAAUACAGAUUGCAGGUUCUGUAUUAUGAAUAGAAUGGCCUGUAGCUCACAAGAAGUAAGGUCAGCUUCAACUUCCGUUGGUGACCAUCAUUUAAGCUCCGUCCACCUGCCAGUGCUCGCAUUACCGUGUUUUUAUUAGUUGCACUUUUCACUAGAAACGUGUUCAGAACUAAUUUAACCGUUUAUAAAAAAACACGUGUGUUUUUGGCGUUAUUCAGCAGAAACACACCCUAUGAGUUUAUUAAUAGAUCCAUGCUAUGAGGCUAAAGUUUAUUGUAGCUUCCUUGAUGUACUGUAUGUAGUGUGUCUCGGGGUGCCAAGCUGACAGCUUAAGAAAGCUAUUGUUAGAGCAAUGUGUUAUUUUUGCCUGUCUCAAUGAAUCUUCUAAUGCAUUAUUUUUUUAUAGAGUGCUACAGUGUUACGUCACGAUACCACGUGAUACUACUCUGUUGCUAUUGGCAACACAAAAUGAGUUCAACUGAACGCCAUUUUUCCCACUGACAAACCAUUGAUCCCAAUUUCUAACGUAUUCAUUAAGAUGUUGUAUCUCAGUUUUUCUUUGUAAAUUUUAAUUGUUGAUUAAAUGUGUGUUCGAUAACUUAUAUAAUGCAAGCUUUUGUGUUUUUAGUACAUUUUGAUGGUAAAUUACUAGGUUUUAAAAUGCCUAUUUUUAGAAAGCCUAUUUUAAACCAUUAAGAUUAUGAAGACAUUCAGGUGUAAUGAAUGGUAAUCAACGUCUGGUUGACAACAAAGGGCGCCACCUGGUGUUGUGACGACACAACUGUUGUACUCUAUAUUUCUCUGUUCAGCCAAAAUAUGGCCAAAUUUGACAUAAUUUUGUAUCACAUACAGUAUUAAUCAUCAAUGAAUAAAUAGUUUAAUUACCAUUACUUUUAAAAAUGUUUACAUGUCAUAUAAACAUAUAAUGUUCAUAAUAUACCAUCAUAAAUGUAAAUUAGUAUUUUUUUAAAUAAUGGUAUAAUGAAUACUUAUGUUCAAUACGUAUCUUGUUACAUUUGUGUUUAGAAUGUAAAUGAAUUAUGCACUGGUAAGCCAUCAAUUGCAAAUUGAAUUCAGAAUGUUACAAUAAUUAUUCUAGCCUAAAGGUAAAUUUGAUCCCCUCUUUAGAUUUCCACAUUAUGUUACACUGCUAACAAUCAGCUACAAAAACCCAAGUUGUAUAGGCCUACUAAUAUUAUGAUGUAUAAUAAAGCUUCUAAUAUCUGCA
This is a long non-coding RNA of Anneissia japonica, 1475 nucleotides long. RefSeq lists it as uncharacterized. The record is from RefSeq and is a predicted model, not a curated record. The transcript is spliced from 3 exons. NCBI's taxonomy places the organism in Eukaryota, Metazoa, Echinodermata, Crinoidea, Comatulida, Comatulidae.